GGUUUUUCAAUUUCUGAGUUGUCCAAAUGG
RNAcentral lists this non-coding RNA (30 nucleotides) under Rattus norvegicus (Norway rat). The record is from RNAcentral. Lineage: Eukaryota; Metazoa; Chordata; Mammalia; Rodentia; Muridae.